CCUUUUGGGUGUGAUUUGUGGAGCGUGAGGAGUUAAACGCCUUCAUGCUUGCAUAUUCGUGCACUUUGGGUGUACUUGCCCGUAUGGUUGGUUAACAUCAAUUUUGGUGGUCAUAAAAUGACUGGAGGAAUGUAGCUUCGAUCUUGUAUUGAAGUGUUAUAGCCUUCGGUAGAUGUGAUGAUCGAGAUUGAGGAUUGCAACGGAUACCCUUCGGGGCUACCUGUCUGAUCUCUGAUCGUUGCUCUGGUGCCGAAAGCUUGCUUACGGUUAUCAAAGUCGAUGGUCAAUAGGUUAGAACGGGUUAAA
This 306-nucleotide ribosomal RNA is filed under the name uncultured Glomeromycotina. RNAcentral's name for it is "eukaryotic LSU rRNA". Lineage: Eukaryota; Fungi; Glomeromycota. The record is from RNAcentral.